RNAcentral lists this ribosomal RNA (981 nucleotides) under Triticum aestivum (bread wheat). RNAcentral describes it as "partial small subunit ribosomal RNA". Lineage: Eukaryota; Viridiplantae; Streptophyta; Magnoliopsida; Poales; Poaceae. The record is from RNAcentral.
AUGAUGUCUUAUGGUCUGUGGCUUUGGCUGUUGGUUCUAGUGUUGGCUUCAUGGUUCAGGUUAAAGUAUCCCCAUGUUGCCAUCGGAGCCCUGGCGUCUUCUGCACCCAUCCUGCACUUCGACGACAUCACCCCGUGGUCAAGCUUCCAUGAUACCGUCUCACGGGACUUCAAGUCCGAGAGCCUGAAUUGCUUCAGUGUCAUCAAGGCAGUCUGGGAUGUGCUAGAUAACAGGGGAUCCAACGAUACAGGGCUCUUGGAGCUCAGCAAAACCUUCAGGGCCUGCAAGACCGUGCAGUUCAUUUAUUCGCUGAGCAGCUGGCUACAGACAGCGUUCAUCCACACAGCCACGAUGGACUAUCCAACCCCAGCAAAUUUCUUAAUGAAUCUGCCUGCUUACCCAGUCAAGGAGAUGUGCAAGAUCAUUGAUUCUUUUCCUGCGGGAGCAGACGUCAUCGACAAGGCUUUCGCUGCGGCGAGCUUGUACUACAAUUACACAGGCGACAAGAAAUGCUUCCAGGUGGAGGGUGGCGAUGACCCUCAUGGCUUCAAAGGAUGGGGCUGGCAGGCCUGCACAGAGAUGGUCAUGCCAAUGACGGUGUCGAACGAGAGCAUGUUCCGACCAUCCAGCUUCAGUUACGAGAAGAUGUCCGAGAGCUGCCUUGCGGGCUACAGAGUUCGUCCAAGGAUGCACUGGAUCACUUCUGAAUAUGGUGGCCAUAAAAUUGACAAGGUUCUCAAGAGGUUUGGGAGCAACAUCAUCUUCUCCAACGGGAUGCGAGACCCGUGGAGUGGAGGCGGGGUACUCAAGAACAUAUCAUCCAGCAUCAUUGCUCUUGUCACGGAGAAAGGGGCCCAUCAUUUGGACUUGAGAUCUGCAACCAAGGAUGAUCCAGACUGGAUUGUAGAACAAAGGAGACAGGAAACUGAGAUCAUACAUGGAUGGAUAGAUCAGUAUAACAAGGACAUUGCACAGACGUAG